Dipodomys ordii (Ord's kangaroo rat) is the source of this 70-nucleotide non-coding RNA. The record is from Rfam. Lineage: Eukaryota; Metazoa; Chordata; Mammalia; Rodentia; Heteromyidae.
GGGAAGGUGGCUCAGUGGUAGAGUGCUUGCCUUGCAUGCAUGAGGCCCUAGGUUCAAUUCCUCAGUACCA